AGUUUCAACAACCCUGACAGAGCUGU
Molecule: non-coding RNA, 26 nt
Filed under: Cricetulus griseus (Chinese hamster)
Lineage: Eukaryota; Metazoa; Chordata; Mammalia; Rodentia; Cricetidae
Source: RNAcentral